AUCACUUCUCGGCCUUUUGGCUAAGAUCAAGUGUAGUAUCUGUUCUUAUCAGUUUAAUAUAGCUCAAACUUAGAGUUUAAGAAGCCAUCAACCAAGAUUUGCCUGCAGGUACAUAUAAUCUCAGUAUAACAUUAUCAUCUCUAUCCACUGCAGCAUUAGAUCUCUAGAACUUGUUUACUUACUAUUACAAGUUGCAUCACAUUUUUUCAGUGAGAAAAUAA
RNAcentral lists this small nuclear RNA (221 nucleotides) under Erinaceus europaeus (western European hedgehog). RNAcentral's name for it is "U2 spliceosomal RNA". The stretch from base 1 to 117 matches the Rfam family "U2 spliceosomal RNA". Rfam says of the family: U2 is a small nuclear RNA (snRNA) component of the spliceosome (involved in pre-mRNA splicing). Complementary binding between U2 snRNA (in an area lying towards the 5' end but 3' to hairpin I) and the branchpoint sequence (BPS) of the intron results the bulging out of an unpaired adenosine, on the BPS, which initiates a nucleophilic attack at the intronic 5' splice site, thus starting the first of two transesterification reactions that mediate splicing. Lineage: Eukaryota; Metazoa; Chordata; Mammalia; Eulipotyphla; Erinaceidae. The record is from Rfam by way of RNAcentral.